This 481-nucleotide unclassified non-coding RNA is filed under the name Melitaea cinxia (Glanville fritillary). Its description in RNAcentral is "misc RNA ENSMCXG00005009417.1". Lineage: Eukaryota; Metazoa; Arthropoda; Insecta; Lepidoptera; Nymphalidae. The record is from RNAcentral.
GCGUCGUCGAUAAUCAUAAUUGGAUUGUUUGUUAUUAAAUAAAUAUAAUACUAUACUAGUUUUAUACCCGACUUUCAUUGUAUAUUUUUAAAGUGGAUGUCUAAAUCGAAUGUAUGAAAAUCUCGUAUUACUGUGUUUAUGUGUCUACUUCUUUGAAACGUCUCGACAGAUUUUUAAUUACUACUUAAUUACGCCCAGACCAGGACUAACAUUUGUAUGGUCGAUACAAAUGUCUGUCGUGAGCGGGAAUCGAACCCGCGACCGCCAACAUCACAGCCAGUGCUAUUACCGCGGCGCCAACGCGUCGUCAUAUAGUUUUUUUAUUUAUAUGUCAAAAUAAAGAUGAAAUAAAAUUCUAGAAUGCUCGACAGAAGGUACUAAACUAAAAACUGGAUUGACGCUAGCGGACACCGUAAAUAUAUGUAUGAACCAUACAUAUAUUUUUUCUAGAUUUAGAAAUUUGUGCUUGUGUAUGUUAUUA